Transfer RNA from Zancudomyces culisetae, 71 nucleotides. It matches the Rfam family "tRNA". Rfam says of the family: Transfer RNA (tRNA) molecules are approximately 80 nucleotides in length. NCBI's taxonomy places the organism in Eukaryota, Fungi, Kickxellomycota, Harpellomycetes, Harpellales, Legeriomycetaceae. The record is from Rfam.
GCGUUAGUAGUAUAGCGGUAGAAUAGUUGCCUUCCAAGCAAUUGGCCCGGGUUCGACUCCCGGCUGACGCA